AAAUUGAAGAGUUUGAUCAUGGCUCAGAUUGAACGCUGGCGGCAGGCCUAACACAUGCAAGUCGAGCGGUAACACAGAGAGCUUGCUCUCGGGUGACGAGCGGCGGACGGGUGAGUAAUGUCUGGGAAACUGCCUGAUGGAGGGGGAUAACUACUGGAAACGGUAGCUAAUACCGCAUAACGUCGCAAGACCAAAGUGGGGGACCUUCGGGCCUCAUGCCAUCAGAUGUGCCCAGAUGGGAUUAGCUAGUAGGUGGGGUAAUGGCUCACCUAGGCGACGAUCCCUAGCUGGUCUGAGAGGAUGACCAGCCACACUGGAACUGAGACACGGUCCAGACUCCUACGGGAGGCAGCAGUGGGGAAUAUUGCACAAUGGGCGCAAGCCUGAUGCAGCCAUGCCGCGUGUAUGAAGAAGGCCUUCGGGUUGUAAAGUACUUUCAGCGAGGAGGAAGGCGUUAAGGUUAAUAACCUUGGCGAUUGACGUUACUCGCAGAAGAAGCACCGGCUAACUCCGUGCCAGCAGCCGCGGUAAUACGGAGGGUGCAAGCGUUAAUCGGAAUUACUGGGCGUAAAGCGCACGCAGGCGGUCUGUCAAGUCGGAUGUGAAAUCCCCGGGCUCAACCUGGGAACUGCAUUCGAAACUGGCAGGCUAGAGUCUUGUAGAGGGGGGUAGAAUUCCAGGUGUAGCGGUGAAAUGCGUAGAGAUCUGGAGGAAUACCGGUGGCGAAGGCGGCCCCCUGGACAAAGACUGACGCUCAGGUGCGAAAGCGUGGGGAGCAAACAGGAUUAGAUACCCUGGUAGUCCACGCCGUAAACGAUGUCGACUUGGAGGUUGUGCCCUUGAGGCGUGGCUUCCGGAGCUAACGCGUUAAGUCGACCGCCUGGGGAGUACGGCCGCAAGGUUAAAACUCAAAUGAAUUGACGGGGGCCCGCACAAGCGGUGGAGCAUGUGGUUUAAUUCGAUGCAACGCGAAGAACCUUACCUACUCUUGACAUCCAGAGAACUUAGCAGAGAUGCUUUGGUGCCUUCGGGAACUCUGAGACAGGUGCUGCAUGGCUGUCGUCAGCUCGUGUUGUGAAAUGUUGGGUUAAGUCCCGCAACGAGCGCAACCCUUAUCCUUUGUUGCCAGCGGUUAGGCCGGGAACUCAAAGGAGACUGCCAGUGAUAAACUGGAGGAAGGUGGGGAUGACGUCAAGUCAUCAUGGCCCUUACGAGUAGGGCUACACACGUGCUACAAUGGCAUAUACAAAGAGAAGCGACCUCGCGAGAGCAAGCGGACCUCAUAAAGUAUGUCGUAGUCCGGAUUGGAGUCUGCAACUCGACUCCAUGAAGUCGGAAUCGCUAGUAAUCGUAGAUCAGAAUGCUACGGUGAAUACGUUCCCGGGCCUUGUACACACCGCCCGUCACACCAUGGGAGUGGGUUGCAAAAGAAGUAGGUAGCUUAACCUUCGGGAGGGCGCUUACCACUUUGUGAUUCAUGACUGGGGUGAAGUCGUAACAAGGUAACCGUAGGGGAACCUGCGGUUGGAUCACCUCCUUACCUUAAAGAA
This 1550-nucleotide ribosomal RNA is filed under the name Klebsiella aerogenes. RNAcentral describes it as "bacterial SSU rRNA". It matches the Rfam family "Bacterial small subunit ribosomal RNA". The record is from RNAcentral. Lineage: Bacteria; Pseudomonadati; Pseudomonadota; Gammaproteobacteria; Enterobacterales; Enterobacteriaceae.